GAUGAACGCUGGCGGCGUGCCUAAUACAUGCAAGUCGAGCGAACAGACGAGGAGCUUGCUCCUCUGACGUUAGCGGCGGACGGGUGAGUAACACGUGGAUAACCUACCUAUAAGACUGGGAUAACUUCGGGAAACCGGAGCUAAUACCGGAUAAUAUAUUGAACCGCAUGGUUCAAUAGUGAAAGACGGUUUUGCUGUCACUUAUAGAUGGAUCCGCGCCGCAUUAGCUAGUUGGUAAGGUAACGGCUUACCAAGGCAACGAUGCGUAGCCGACCUGAGAGGGGGAGGGGCCAACUGGAAAGUGAGCAGCGGUCAAGCCCCCAAGGGGGGGAGGCGGGGGGAAUGUUUCCGAAAGGGGCGAAACCUGAACGGGGAAACGCGGGGGGAGUAAGGAGGGUUUCCGUAUGGUAAAACGUUGUUUUGGGGGAAAAAAAAAUGUGUAGGUAACUAUGCAGGUUUGGAGGGUCCUAAAUAAGAAAGCCAGGGCAAACUACGU
RNAcentral lists this ribosomal RNA (496 nucleotides) under uncultured bacterium. RNAcentral's name for it is "partial 16S ribosomal RNA". It matches the Rfam family "Bacterial small subunit ribosomal RNA", at positions 28 to 506 of the family's 1533-position model. The record is from RNAcentral.